CCCGCGGCGCCUGCACCCCGGCCGCGCGCCCCCCCAGCGCGGGGCUUCUUUGCCUCAACUCCAGCAUCACUUGACCCCAGGGAGGGGCAGAAAAAGUUUGGAAGGAAGCGCCACGUGUCGCGAGGAAACAGGCGGUUUGUCCUCAGUGGCAAGACGGGGACCUCGCGGCCAGGGCUCUGCUCCAACCCCGAUCCCUUGCUCUGGGGAAGCCAGCCACCAUGUGGUGAGGACACUCAAGCAGCCCUAUGAUUCAGGCCACAUGAGGAGGAACUCAGCUUUCUGCCAGCUUACCAGCCAUUGGAAUGAACCAUCUGGGAAUGGUUCAAGCCUCUAGUGCCAUUUUCAGAUGAAAGCAGUCUUCACGAGAAAUCCUCAGUUGGAGCCACCCAGCCACUCCCAAAUUCUUGAUCCACAGAAGCCAUCAGAGAUCAUAGAGUGUAUUGUUGCUAUAAGCUACUACUUUCAGGGUAAGUCACUCCGUGGCAAUAGAGAACUAGUAUAUCUGCCUUGAAGAUCAUCUGUGGGACUGACUUCAUGGUUUUAUAGGAUGCUGGAAAUGAAUGAAUACAUGGAAAACACUUAGAACUUGGCCUAGUACAUAGGAAGCACUCAAUAAAUGUUAGUUGGGUUGUUACCAUGGUUUGCUUUUCCAUUAUUGUCAUCAUCACUACCUUUCUUCCAAAGCAUCUAAGAUUCAGGCCUUUCAAAGUUCAAAAAGACCAUUUCACACCUGAAGAAGAGUUGGAACCAUCUGAAGGCGUAAAGAGACAGAACUAGUAAAAGGACUAAGGAAAAACUGUAUUUACAGGGAGUUUAUGGCAAACAAGGAGGUAUUUGCUUCAUUAAGCUUCGUGAAAACCAGGCAGAGGGGUAACAGAAGAAGCUCUACUUCCGGAGUCCCGUCCUCAGCGCACUUUCACAGGGGAUCCAUACUCCCUGUUCAGUGCUCCCCUCUUUCCUUCUUGUGAUUUCCCUUCUUCUCUCUUGUAUGUGAGGAGAACAGAAAUUCACUUGAGGAUGCAGCCAAGGAAGGCUUGCUCCACUCUGGACUGGAGUAGCUGGUGGAAGCUGCCUACUGAGAGACUCUGUGGCCAAAGACGACACUUUUUCUCUUCAAAAAAACACCACACACACACACAACAUACACACACACUAACCCCAACAUACAAUCAGGAGACCACAGAGUCAAGUGACUGAGGGAAUAGGCUUCAAGGUGGUUUGAUACACCUGAACUCUUAGUUCCCACCAUCUACUAGCUCUGUGAGGCUGAGAAAGUCACUUUAUUAGAGCCUCAGUGGCCUGAGAAAUGGGCAUAAUAGUCACACCUGCCUCCUAGAGCACUUGUCUGAAGCAAAAGGACCCUUACGCAUUCCCUUAGUCAUCUGACAAACAUUGAGAACUGGCUCUGUGGCAAGCACUGCUCGAGGCUCUGGAUUGCUGCAGUGAGCAAAACCAUGUCCCUGUCCUCAUGGAGCUCAUGGUCUAGUAGGGGAGGUGGAGACAUGUCAAAGUGAGCAACAACCACGUAGUAUAACACCUGGUAUCAUAAGGGUUAUGGGAAGCAUUUACGAGGGCUCCUAGGUCAGAGCUCUGAUUUCUUCAGUUCUUCUGACCUAGGACCUCCGUGUGAGGGAGAAGUAAUACCAGGAAAUGUGAAAGUGAAAGCUGCAAAAUUCUGUGGUAGGCAACCUCUCAGAUGACCCCUAAUGAUCCGACUUCCUCCUAUUUGCACUCUUGGUUCAUCCCCUCCUUUGGGUACUGCUGGACCUAGUGACUCAGUUCUAGCAAACAGAAUACUGCCAAAUGUAUGGGAUGGUAUUUCCAAAAUUAGGUUACAAGAACACUUGGGAUCCCAUUUUCCACCCCUACCUUCUAUCUGUCUCUCUCUUCCUCUCCCCCUCUUGCUUACCAGCUGCCUUUUUGUGACCUGCCUUAUGCAAAGGUUCGAGUGGCCGGGAACUGUAAAGACCUUCAGCCAACACCCAGUGACGAAUUAAGGCCCUGAACCCAUCAGUCCAGAAAGAACUAAAUCUUGCCAAUAAUGACGUAAGUGAGUGUAGAAGAUCUUCCCCUAGUCAAGCCUUCAGAUGACACCACAGCUCUAGCUGACAGCUCAACCACCAUAAACACCGAGUCUGUGAACACUUAACAUCGUUGCCUCUCACCUGGUAGUCUGAGGAAGGCAGUGUGAGAGAACCACCACUAACCAAGCGUCUGUUUCCAACAUCAUACAUUUAUGAUCACGUUUAUCUUCACAACAACCUCUGAGUUAGAUGUUAUAAUCCUCUUUGCACAGAUGGGGAAUAUGAGGCCCCAAGAAUCCAAGUGACAGGCCCAAAAUAACCCAGGGAAGACUGAGAUUCAAAGCCAGAUCCUUUUGAUUCCAAAGAAUUUCCACAAACACCACACUGAACCUUCCUGCCUUCUGUAACAACGACAACAAAAAAAUCCCCAAUUCAUAAAACCCAGAAUGUGUUUGCAGCUUGAAAGAUACUGCAUUCACUGGGUUUAGAGCUAGAAAGGUAAAGAUGCCCAGCACAUCAAAUAGAAGUUGAUUCAUUAUGUGAUACAAUUCAACUCUUAGAGAACUUUUCUGGAUGCAUCUAAUUAUUGUAGUUUCCCACCCCCCAAAUGCUGAGCAGAGGAGUUCGCUCAACUAGAAAUUAAAGUCAUCCAGUGCUGCCAAAUGUGUGUAUAUAUAUACAUAUAUAUGUGUGUAUAUAUAUUCAUUUUUUAAAAUUACCAGACUAAUCUACAGAAAAAGCCUGCUGAGAACCAACAGAAUUCUUGUAAUUCAUGUUUAAUAUAGUCACUAGCUUACAAGAAGAGAGAUCUACUGACAUUUACUAAUGAAAAUGUUGCAUCAUCAGAAAGGAUGAAAUUUUUACCCCUCAUUAAAAAAAAAAAAAAAACCAACAA
This is a long non-coding RNA of Canis lupus familiaris (dog), 2919 nucleotides long. RefSeq lists it as uncharacterized. NCBI's taxonomy places the organism in Eukaryota, Metazoa, Chordata, Mammalia, Carnivora, Canidae. The transcript has 2 exons. The record is from RefSeq and is a predicted model, not a curated record.